Molecule: ribosomal RNA, 523 nt
Filed under: Aspergillus amstelodami
Lineage: Eukaryota; Fungi; Ascomycota; Eurotiomycetes; Eurotiales; Aspergillaceae
Description: eukaryotic LSU rRNA
Rfam family: 5.8S ribosomal RNA (bases 159-312)
Source: RNAcentral
GCGGAAGGAUCAUUACCGAGUGCGGGCCCUCUGGGUCCAACCUCCCAUCCGUGUCUAUCUGUACCCUGUUGCUUCGGCGUGGCCACGGCCCGCCGGAGACUAACAUUUGAACGCUGUCUGAAGUUUGCAGUCUGAGUUUUUAGUUAAACAAUCGUUAAAACUUUCAACAACGGAUCUCUUGGUUCCGGCAUCGAUGAAGAACGCAGCGAAAUGCGAUAAUUAAUGUGAAUUGCAGAAUUCAGUGAAUCAUCGAGUCUUUGAACGCACAUUGCGCCCCCUGGUAUUCCGGGGGGCAUGCCUGUCCGAGCGUCAUUGCUGCCCUCAAGCACGGCUUGUGUGUUGGGCUUCCGUCCCUGGCAACGGGGACGGGCCCAAAAGGCAGUGGCGGCACCAUGUCUGGUCCUCGAGCGUAUGGGGCUUUGUCACCCGCUCCCGUAGGUCCAGCUGGCAGCUAGCCUCGCAACCAAUCUUUUUAACCAGGUUGACCUCGGAUCAGGUAGGGAUACCCGCUGAACUUAAGCAU